UACGUAGGGUGCAAGCGUUGUCCGGAAUUAUUGGGCGUAAAGAGCUCGUAGGCGGUCUGUUGCGUCGCUGUGAAAACCCGGGGCUCAACCCCGGGCCUGCAGCCGAUACGGGCGGACUAGAGUUCGGCAGGGGAGACUGGAAUUCCUGGUGUAGCGGUGAAAUGCGCAGAUAUCAGGAGGAACACCGGUGGCGAAGGCGGGUCUCUGGGCCGAUACUGACGCUGAGGAGCGAAAGCGUGGGGAGCGAACAGG
This 252-nucleotide ribosomal RNA is filed under the name uncultured bacterium. RNAcentral describes it as "partial 16S ribosomal RNA". It matches the Rfam family "Bacterial small subunit ribosomal RNA", at positions 524 to 776 of the family's 1533-position model. The record is from RNAcentral.